RNAcentral lists this transfer RNA (72 nucleotides) under Camelus bactrianus (Bactrian camel). It matches the Rfam family "tRNA". Rfam says of the family: Transfer RNA (tRNA) molecules are approximately 80 nucleotides in length. Their secondary structure includes four short double-helical elements and three loops (D, anti-codon, and T loops). The record is from Rfam by way of RNAcentral. Lineage: Eukaryota; Metazoa; Chordata; Mammalia; Artiodactyla; Camelidae. RNAcentral also lists the same sequence under 1 other name.
GAGGAUAUAGCUCAGUGGUAGAGUGUAUGCCUAGCCUGCACGAGGUCCCAGGGUCAAUCCCUGGUACCUCCA